This 253-nucleotide ribosomal RNA is filed under the name uncultured bacterium. RNAcentral's name for it is "partial 16S ribosomal RNA". It matches the Rfam family "Bacterial small subunit ribosomal RNA", at positions 524 to 776 of the family's 1533-position model. The record is from RNAcentral.
UACGUAGGGGGCAAGCGUUGUCCGGAAUCAUUGGGCGUAAAGAGCGUGUAGGCGGCCAGAAAAGUCCGCUGUGAAAACUCGAGGCUCAACUUCGAGCUGUCGGUGGAAACUUUCUGGCUAGAGUCCGGAAGAGGAGAAUGGAAUUCCUGGUGUAGCGGUGAAAUGCGCAGAUAUCAGGAAGAACACCCGUGGCGAAGGCGGCUCUCUGGUACGUGACUGACGCUGAGACGCGAAAGCGUGGGGAGCAAACAGG